Molecule: long non-coding RNA, 497 nt
Organism: Nothoprocta perdicaria
Lineage: Eukaryota; Metazoa; Chordata; Aves; Tinamiformes; Tinamidae
Exons: 2
Source: RefSeq, a predicted model, not a curated record
UAUGGGGGCCCCAGGGGAUGGCCAUGGUUUUCCCUGCUGCAGGGCCCAUCUGUGCCAAGGGAAGGGCCCUGGUCACCUUCCUGCUGCCUCCAGGUUCCCAGGAAGUUCUCGGGCUGGUGCAAGGUGAAGCCUCUGAGAUGUGGAGGCCCCAGGUCCUGCUUGCCCAGCACCUGGCUGUUCUGUGCCCUGCUGCUCCCUAGCCCAUACCCAAUGCUCUGCUAAGGGGCAGACUUUCUUCAUAUCUGUUUCUGGAUGCUGAAAGCCCCAUGGCCGGGUACCAUCCAUCUCCUCAACACACUUCAGCGCCGUGGAAGCUUUGUGUGCUGAUAAAUAGCAUAAUAGGAAGAAAUUUAAUGGACUAUCUAAAGUGCCUCUCUUCAAAUCAAAGUGCACAGGGUGCGACCCAGCCAUCGAUACACAAUACAYGUUAAACAAACAAUUGCUCAAAUAUCAUAAAAACAGGCUAUAAAAGCCAUAUAAACCUCUGGAGAUACUGG